UGCCCUAUCGUAUAUUGACUAUUACCUCUGUCUCUAAAACAGAAGAAGUGGGUUUGAUUCCUACUAGGGCUA
This 72-nucleotide transfer RNA is filed under the name Caudoviricetes sp. Its description in RNAcentral is "tRNA-OTHER". It matches the Rfam family "tRNA". From Rfam's summary of the family: Transfer RNA (tRNA) molecules are approximately 80 nucleotides in length. Their secondary structure includes four short double-helical elements and three loops (D, anti-codon, and T loops). Lineage: Duplodnaviria; Heunggongvirae; Uroviricota; Caudoviricetes. RNAcentral also lists the same sequence under 1 other name. The record is from RNAcentral.